GUCACGUGGCCAGCCAAGCCCCGCGGCCCGGCGCCGCGUAGUGAAGCCUCGGCCCAGUGCUUGUUUGUCCCAAGUCAAGUGCCCCCGGAGAACGACAACACACCUCUCAGGACGUGGGAGAGGCGCGGCCCCACGGACCAUUUGCAGAUAGUGUUUCAGUCCGCCUAGUGGAAGAAGACCACGCAGUGGCUACGGGCCUGAAACUCACCAGCAGAGCUCGCUUAGGGUGCCGGGUUGCCCGUACAAACGCCAACUGCGCUUCGAAUACAGUCGUCCACGCUGCAGUGCUGGCGGAUGGCCGCGACGCGACGCUCUGGUAACCUCCG
Frankliniella occidentalis (western flower thrips) is the source of this 326-nucleotide long non-coding RNA. RefSeq lists it as uncharacterized. The record is from RefSeq and is a predicted model, not a curated record. The transcript has 2 exons. NCBI's taxonomy places the organism in Eukaryota, Metazoa, Arthropoda, Insecta, Thysanoptera, Thripidae.